CAGACCUGCGGUUACUGCCACAGGCCUCAGCAGGGCCUGGUGACGAGCUCUGCACAGCCGGCCGGGAAGUGUCACUUUCCCGGAUGAGGAGAGGAAACAUGUUUCUUGCAAAUGGGCUGUGCGCUUGUGGAAGAGCUCCUCUGCACUGCGCUUCCUCCGCUCCCAAGGGCCCCAUCAAAAUGGGGCUGGGGUAACAGCAGCCCCAGACAGCCCACCCUGCAACAACCAGGAGAAGAACGCGCCCGAAAGGGAAGCGGGAGGACACGACACCGCAGGCUGCUUGUGGUGGGAUGAUGGACCAUGCGGGCUGGAUCACUAAAGGCGCACAUUAGCCCAAGCGGAGCCUCUGACACACUCAGGGAGGUCAGAACCAGGAGAGGAGAAAAGCCGGAGUGUCCACAGUGACCGUCAGGAAGAGGGGCUGCGAGGCACCCUUGUGAUGCUGUCCCCAGGCUCUCUGGGCCUCUGUGGAUUGCGACAUCACCUCAUGAUUCUCUAGUGCAACCGAUAAGCACAGGUGAGGGCUGGCUCUGUGAGGCUCCAGGGAGCAGAGUCUGCAGAAUAGCUGGCCUUUUUUCUGGGCAGGGAAGGGCAGCCCCAGCAACGCUGGGAGAGGCUGCAGCUAGGCCUAGACAAGGACCUUCUAUAAAGCAGCACUGAUAUAAAUGCUGGCACUCAGAAAACUUCUGAGGGGCCAGUCCUAGAAAGCAGUCUCUAGACAGAGAUGUGGGAUGUGGCUGCCCUGUGCCAACCUCGCCACGCGGCCUCUAGAUGGAGAGGUGGGAUGUGGC
This 791-nucleotide long non-coding RNA is filed under the name Homo sapiens (human). Its description in RNAcentral is "HSALNT0246117". The record is from RNAcentral. Lineage: Eukaryota; Metazoa; Chordata; Mammalia; Primates; Hominidae.